GAUGAACGCUAGCGGGAGGCCUAACACAUGCAAGCCGAGCGGUAGAGUUUCUUCGGAAACUUGAGAGCGGCGCACGGGUGCGUAACACGUGUGCAACCUACCUUUAUCUGGGGGAUAGCCUUUCGAAAGGAAGAUUAAUACCCCAUAAUAUAAUGAUUGGCAUCAAUUAUUAUUGAAAACUCCGGUGGAUAGAGAUGGGCACGCGCAAGAUUAGAUAGUUGGUGAGGUAACGGCUCACCAAGUCAAUGAUCUUUAGGGGUCCUGAGAGGGAGAUCCCCCACACUGGUACUGAGACACGGACCAGACUCCUACGGGAGGCAGCAGUGAGGAAUAUUGGACAAUGGGUGAGAGCCUGAUCUAGCCAUCCCGCGUGAAGGAUGACGGUCCUAUGGAUUGUAAACUUCUUUUGUACAGGGAUAAACCUACCCUCGUGAGGGUAGCUGAAGGUACUGUACGAAUAAGCACCGGCUAACUCCGUG
Molecule: ribosomal RNA, 479 nt
Filed under: uncultured bacterium
Lineage: Bacteria
Description: partial 16S ribosomal RNA
Rfam family: Bacterial small subunit ribosomal RNA
Source: RNAcentral